UACGGAGGAUGCAAGCGUUAUCCGGAUUCAUUGGGUUUAAAGGGUGCGCAGGCGGAGAGAUAAGUCAGUGGUGAAAAACUGCCGCUCAACGGUAGUCUUGCCAUUGAUACUGUCUUUCUUGAGUAUGGAUGAGGUAGGCGGAAUGUGCAGUGUAGCGGUGAAAUGCAUAGAUAUUGCACGGAACACCAAUUUCGAAGGCAGCUUACUGGACCAUUACUGACGCUCAGGCACGAAAGCGUGGGGAUCAAA
This 249-nucleotide ribosomal RNA is filed under the name uncultured prokaryote. RNAcentral's name for it is "partial 16S ribosomal RNA". It matches the Rfam family "Bacterial small subunit ribosomal RNA", at positions 524 to 772 of the family's 1533-position model. The record is from RNAcentral.